ACGUGAGCAACCUGCCCCUCACUCUGGGAUAAGCGCUGGAAACGGCGUCUAAUACUGGAUACGAGUUGGAGCCGCAUGGUUACCAACUGGAAAGAUUUUUUGGUGGGGGAUGGGCUCGCGGCCUAUCAGCUUGUUGGUGAGGUAAUGGCUCACCAAGGCGUCGACGGGUAGCCGGCCUGAGAGGGUGACCGGCCACACUGGGACUGAGACACGGCCCAGACUCCUACGGGAGGCAGCAGUGGGGAAUAUUGCACAAUGGGCGGAAGCCUGAUGCAGCAACGCCGCGUGAGGGAUGACGGCCUUCGGGUUGUAAACCUCUUUUAGCAGGGAAGAAGCGAAAGUGACGGUACCUGCAGAAAAAGCACCGGCUAACUACGUGCCAGCAGCCGCGGUAAUACGUAGGGUGCAAGCGUUAUCCGGAAUUAUUGGGCGUAAAGAGCUCGUAGGCGGUUUGUCGCGUCUGCUGUGAAAUCCCGAGGCUCAACCUCGGGCCUGCAGUGGGUACGGGCAGACUAGAGUGCGGUAGGGGAGAUUGGAAUUCCUGGUGUAGCGGUGGAAUGCGCAGAUAUCAGGAGGAACACCGAUGGCGAAGGCAGAUCUCUGGGCCGUAACUGACGCUGAGGAGCGAAAGGGUGGGGAGCAAACAGGCUUAGAUACCCUGGUAGUCCACCCCGUAAACGUUGGGAACUAGUUGUGGGGUCCUUUCCACGGAUUCCGUGACGCAGCUAACGCAUUAAGUUCCCCGCCUGGGGAGUACGGCCGCAAGGCUAAAACUCAAAGGAAUUGACGGGGACCCGCACAAGCGGCGGAGCAUGCGGAUUAAUUCGAUGCAACGCGAAGAACCUUACCAAGGCUUGACAUACACCAGAACACCGUAGAAAUACGGGACUCUUUGGACACUGGUGAACAGGUGGUGCAUGGUUGUCGUCAGCUCGUGUCGUGAGAUGUUGGGUUAAGUCCCGCAACGAGCGCAACCCUCGUUCUAUGUUGCCAGCACGUAAUGGUGGGAACUCAUGGGAUACUGCCGGGGUCAACUCGGAGGAAGGUGGGGAUGACGUCAAAUCAUCAUGCCCCUUAUGUCUUGGGCUUCACGCAUGCUACAAUGGCCGGUACAAAGGGCUGCAAUACCGUGAGGUGGAGCGAAUCCCAAAAAGCCGGUCCCAGUUCGGAUUGAGGUCUGCAACUCGACCUCAUGAAGUCGGAGUCGCUAGUAAUCGCAGAUCAGCAACGCUGCGGUGAAUACGUUCCCGGGUCUUGUACACACCG
This 1266-nucleotide ribosomal RNA is filed under the name Microbacterium sp. SMX-1S-CPSE17. Its description in RNAcentral is "bacterial SSU rRNA". It matches the Rfam family "Bacterial small subunit ribosomal RNA", at positions 115 to 1392 of the family's 1533-position model. Lineage: Bacteria; Bacillati; Actinomycetota; Actinomycetes; Micrococcales; Microbacteriaceae. The record is from RNAcentral.